CCCCGCGGCCGCUUGGUGUCGCUCCGUGGAGGCUGGAAAGGAAGAGUUGAUUGAGUUUGACGGGAGAGAGUUUGGCUCCGGGCUCUAAGCUGCCAGAGAGAGGCGAACCAAUCCAGUGUACGGCAAUCAGCAGCUCAACAGCUUCCAAUCAUUUUCAUUGCAUGGAAAAGAGACGUGCAAAUCUCCUUCACGCAACACAGAAAGUCAUACGGGUUUGGCACAAUAUGAGGAUCCCUGAACCGCAAGGAAGCAGUUCGUUCCUGGAUGCCACAUGGGCUGGAGAGUGGGGUGUUCGUGAGGCCAAUCUUUGGGGUUCGCUGUGCCAAAACCCAAUGCACUCUCUGACCGCAGUGUACCGGGACCCUCAAAGCGGAAACCGUGAUAUGGACCAUUCGAGCGGCCUACAAAAACAUCUUCAACAAACAUUCUGUCCAAUCUGUCAGACACAGCCCUGCACUUAUAACCCUGGUGAAGCUCACUCACCUCGCGCUCAUUGUGUAAAUACGACACGGCUGAGGUUUCCAUGAAGAAUUUGGUUAGAAAAGCUAAACGUACUGUAUAUAAACAACCAGGCAGUGUGUGUGUGUGUGUGUGAGAGAGAGAGAGAGUGACUUACCAAUGCAGGUCUUGCUGUCCGAAUGCAGGGCAUAUUUCUGAUGACAUCCACACACA
Molecule: non-coding RNA, 672 nt
Organism: Pimephales promelas (fathead minnow)
Lineage: Eukaryota; Metazoa; Chordata; Actinopteri; Cypriniformes; Leuciscidae
Source: RefSeq, a predicted model, not a curated record